RNAcentral lists this ribosomal RNA (253 nucleotides) under uncultured bacterium. RNAcentral describes it as "partial 16S ribosomal RNA". It matches the Rfam family "Bacterial small subunit ribosomal RNA", at positions 524 to 776 of the family's 1533-position model. The record is from RNAcentral.
UACAGAGGUGGCAAGCGUUGUUCGGAAUUACUGGGCGUAAAGGGCGCGUAGGCGGUCUUGCAAGUCCUGUGUGAAAUCCCUCGGCUCAACUGAGGAACUGCACAGGAAACUGCUUGGCUUGAGUGUAGGAGAGGAAAGUGGAAUUCCACGUGUAGCGGUGAAAUGCGUAGAGAUGUGGAGGAACACCAGUGGCGAAGGCGACUUUCUGGCCUAUAACUGACGCUGAGGCGCGAAAGCGUGGGGAGCAAACAGG